Molecule: non-coding RNA, 92 nt
Organism: Mycena rebaudengoi
Lineage: Eukaryota; Fungi; Basidiomycota; Agaricomycetes; Agaricales; Mycenaceae
Source: the annotation of a GenBank genome assembly
GACCCAGUAGUGUAACGGUAACACACUUACCACCAAUUAGCCCUCCAAAAUGUUUUCUGUCAGAAAUCCCUGUUCAACUCAGGGCUGGGUCA